AAAAAAGUAAAAAAAACAAAAGAAAAAACCCUCCUCCUUUUUCUCUUUUCUGCAAGAACAACAAAUUAACCUGACUGAACUCACUUUCUCUCUCUACCUCAAACUUCUUCAUUUUUUGUCUCAAUUCUCCAUGGGAAGACCUCGAGGUUCCAAACGCACCCUUGAUACCUUUACCAUUAAACCCCUAAACAAGCCCAUCAAGCCGGGAGACUGCGUCCUGAUGAAGCCGGCAGAUCCCUCGAAUCUUUCCUACGUGGCGCGCGUUGAGAGGAUAGAAUCCGACUCACGUGGGACCAAUGCCCGUGUCCACGUGCGGUGGUAUUACCGGCCGGAGGAGUCGAUCGGUGGUCGGCGGCAGUUUCAUGGGUCGAAGGAGCUGUUUCUUUCGGAUCAUUUCGAUGUUCAAAGCGCUGAUACCAUUGAAGGGAAGUGUACGGUUCAUAGUUUUAAGAGUUAUACUAAGCUUGAUGCUGUUGGAAACGACGAUUUCUUCUGUCGUUUUGAGUACAACUGUUCUACCGGUGCUUUUACCCCUGAUCGCGUUGCCGUGUACUGCAAGUGUGAAAUGCCGUACAAUCCCGAUGAUUUGAUGGUCCAGUGUGAGUCAUGCAGUGAUUGGUUCUGUGAGGAGUUUUGUUUCACCCUGCUUGUAUAGAAAUGACGGCAGAAGAAGCUAAAAGACUUGAUCACUUCUUCUGCCAAAAUUGUUCCUCCGAAGAUCCAAAGAAGUUGCAGAACUCACAUGCUGCAUCUAGACAUUCUGAUACGAAGGGAUAGGAAACCGGUAUGGAAUGAUGGUGUUUCAGAAGUGGGAUAAUGGAUGUAUACUGUCAAUUUCUUUCCCCCAAGGAUUGCUGCAGAAUAAUAAAAAAAUCAGCAUUUUCUCGGCACGCUGUUUGGGAUCUCUAAUGAUUUGUCAUGUUGAUAAUUGUGAAAUGUUGUUAUAAUUAUGGUAUGCAUGUUUCUAGACAUUUCACUCUUCAGCUCUGCAUUCUUAUUUGUAUUUUGGCAUUUCUCAAUCAACAUAUUACAUAUGUUUGGAAAAAUAGAUCUUGAUAAAUUUUCAAGUGUUUUUUUUUAAAUGCUAAGACUUGAAUUUUCCCUAUUCUUGAUUGCUCUUGGGAGCCUAGGAUGUCAGAACCAUCACGUUUGGCCCUCUUUUACUCAGCCAUCAAAAAUUCAAAACUUAAGGCCCAGGAGAUCACUACUUGUAUCAUCUUUUGGGUGGGGGUAUGGCAUUGAUGAAGAGCACUUUGACAGGGAUUCACUAUUUACGGAGUAAUGCUUCUAAUGUGCAGCUUUUAGAACCAAGUUCUCUGUUUAUGUGUUGGCAAGUUGCUUUGUUUUGGGUACUAGGGACGAGAUAUAUUAUAACACGUUUACACUUCCUCUGUUUUUUAGUUGCAACCGUUUGACUUGCACACUUGUCAAUGCAACUUAGACCAUAAAUAUAUUUGAUUAUUUACAAGUAAAAGUUAUAAAAAGUUGAUAUUGAAAAUAUGCGUUGAGACUUAUCUUACAAGAUCUCACAUGACAUAUUUAUGUAGCUUACCUAUAUAUCAACAUAGAUGGUCAAAAUGCUUUCAGCUAAACCUGUGUUUAGAUUACUUUUUAUAUUUUACAUUGGUUUUUUUUGGGGUGGGGGUGAGAGUGGGACUGUCGCGCACCUAAGAGUAGUGAGGCACUUGGUUGUAACUGGAGCAUUGUACAUGGACAUGGUAAUGUUAAGAGUACAAGAAGGAAAUUGCAGGUCCAUGAUUUAGGCUAUUAUUACAUCUGGUUUUGAAACCAGCUUGCUCAUUGGCUAUUGCUGUAUGCAGUAGUUGAGCUGAAUUGUAGAAUUUUUUUUAUCUUUCAAAGAUGAGUCAUUUAGCAGAAUUAUCAGUUGUCUUGAAUUGUGGUGGAUGUCAAUUCUUCCGCUCGUUGGAGGGUUGCAUUACUAAAACUGAUUGUAAAUUUCUGAUUGUAAAUUUCUGAAUUGUCAUGAAGAAAUGACAAGAAACAUGGAAUACCCCAGUUGGACAAAAAAAUCUUGUGUAUCAAAUCAAUUAAGUUUUUGGUAGUCCAAGAAGAAAAUGAUUGAGAGUUUUACGUGAUUUUAAGAAUUACGCUUUGGCCUAUUUGUGAUGAUUAAAGGGUAUACUUUGUAGUAUAUUGUGCUUAAAUUCAUUGCUCUGUAUUUCUGUAAUACUUUUGUAAUACUUUUGGUUGUGUUACUUUUUUUUUGCUGGUCUUACAAAUUUGAAUA
This is an RNA transcript of Spinacia oleracea (spinach), 2248 nucleotides long. It is a transcript of the gene named chromatin remodeling protein SHL, with no coding region annotated. The record is from RefSeq and is a predicted model, not a curated record. The transcript has 6 exons. NCBI's taxonomy places the organism in Eukaryota, Viridiplantae, Streptophyta, Magnoliopsida, Caryophyllales, Amaranthaceae.